AUUUUGAUUACAAGUUUGUUCUUUCAUAGUACAAGAAAACAUGAUAACUAAUCAAAAUAAUAGACGAGUCUUGACUGCUCUGUCUUCUCUAAACCUUGCAUCAGCACCUGUCUAUUUGUAACCUGAGAAUACAAGUUAUUUUGAAAGCGAGUAUCAGCAAUAAAGCUGGUGAAUUCAUAAGUAUUUUAAUGUUAUUGCUUUGAAAAGUUGUUAUGAAAGACUGGUGAAUGUUUGAUGAAACAUUUAGUAUAAGUAUGAAAAACCCUAGAAAAUCCCAUAUUUCCUACUAGUAUAAAAAGUAGUCUUCUACCAAGACCUGAAUGUUUUGAAGGUAGUCUUCUACCAAGACCUGAAUGUUUUGAAAGUAGUCUUCUACCAAGACCUGAAUGUUUUGUAAGUAGUCUUCUACCAAGACCUGAAUGUUUUGAAAGUAGUCUUCUACCAAGACCUGAAUGUUUUGUAAGUAGUCUUUUACCAAGACCUGAAUGUUUUGAAAGUAGUCUUCUACCAAGACCUGCCCGUUUUUAAAUAUUUGUUUCUAAAAGUCCAACAUUUAUCCAUAAGUGUGUGGUAGUUUAAAAGUUCCAAAACUAUAACACAAUGAUGUUUUUCAUGCCUAAAUAAUAGAUUUAUGUAUGUAUAAAAUCGCCAAGGCACUUGACGACUCUGUAAACCAAUAUAUUUUUAAUACUUCCUGUGAGUCUUUGUUUAAGUAAAACUGGUUAAAAGGGUGUUUAUCCCAAAUUGUGAACAUGCUAAUAUUAUCCCAUGGUGUAGUUAUUACCCCCUGAGCAUGAUUGAGUUAAAUGUAUACAACUACGUACAAGAGUUGUUGUUUCUGCGUGUUAUGAGUUCCUCAUAACCAUACUAGACGCAGUACCUAUGUUGACAUUUGUCACCCUGGGAACUGUAGCUAAUAGUCAGGGUGCGGAGUCGUCAGCCCCGUAUAGAUCUAUACACACUUGUCACGCUCUCCCUCCAAGAGACUUUGGUUAUAGGUGGGGACUUUUGUUUUGGUACUAACAAAGCCAUUGUCUCACAUGUUUGCUAACAACAAGUUCACGAGUAAUAUAACGAAAUGCCUUUUUAUAUGAAAAGAUUAUCCUUGUUAUGAAAAUACAUACUUGUAAAUAAGACGUUGGUAUAGACUCAUGAAUGAACUGACUCUUGUGUGAUUCCUUGUAAUAGGAAUAAUGUUUUAUAUCUCCUAAACUAUUCCUAUAAUAGUUUACUAGAAUGUAAUUGAUGAGUGUCCAAGUAGGUUUAUACACCCUUGCUACCCAAGAGUGUCGGAACUGAAUUAACUGAUGGAACAUUUAUGACUAUAUAUGUACACAUGAUAUAUAACUAAUAUUUAAACGACCUUCGGACGGGUACCCGAUAUCCCACCAGACCACAUCCAAAUCGAGGAAAAGGAAACAGGGUGGAUAGCCUUCCUAAGUCUUUUAAACAUUAUUUAUAUAACUAUACAUAUAGAGGCAUGCAAUUUAUAAUAUAAAAACAUAAAAGAAGUUUCGUAAAACCUUUGAAAAGUUUAAUAAAUAAGAAUUUGUGACUUGAUGUCAGUUUAUAAAAUGAUUCGAAAACAGUUGACAACACAGUUUAAGUGUAAGAAAACCUUUGUUUGAUGCACAACUAUAACAUAUUAAAAAAGGAAACAUACAGUUUGUAAGACAAUUUUCUAAAAGUGUUUUCACAUGUAAAAACAUUUGAGAAAGCUAUUUGAAGUACUCUGUGUGGUUAAACGGCUAAAAGUGUAGUAAGUCCAAUUGUAUGUUAGUUAUAAAUCACAUGUGAUUGAUUUCAUAACCAAAAAGUAUAACAAAGAUUUAUGUCUUUCACACGAGGAUAACUGUGUUUUUACUUGUAUUCCCCCCCCCCCUUAAAAGUGUAUAAAAAGCAUUUAUAACGCAUUUGAAAGUGUAGAUUAUAGGGGUAUGAACUCACUUGUUUGAAGUGGUUGAUUUGAAGUAGUCGAGAGAAGAAUCGAGCAGAACUUCGACAGGAAGAGUUGAAAACGCGGGAAAAUCUCGGGAUACUCGGGAAUCUCGGGAACAAAAAACCUUCCUUCGGGACUUGAAGGUGAAAACCGGGGCUUUGAGAGGGUCUCGGGGGCAUAAACGUAGAGUUUCGGCGCGAGAAAGAAGGGAACUGAGCAAUGGAACUCGGAGCCCUUGAAAUCUAUUUAUAGGGGCAUUUUUGGGGUGUGCCACGUCGUGGCAAGUGAUGGCCACGUUGUGGGGAGUCAAACUUAUCCUCUUCCAUUGAUUGGACACCCUCAGUCACUUGUCGGGUCGUGGAAAGCUUGUGCCACGUCGUGGCAAGCUUGACAGCCUCGGAUUUCGGGCCUCGAACUUGUAAAAUCCAUAACUUUCGCGUACGAGCUCCGUUUUCGACAUUCUUUAUAUGCACGCGUAGCUAAAAAUAUGAUCUACAACUCUCGUUUAGACUUCAUCGGCAAAUUUUGAUUUUAUUUUUAAUUAUUUAUUUUUAACGGGCCGGGACACGAAAAGUCCGUUAAAAUUCCAUAACUUCUUCAUCCGAUGUCCGUUUUCGUCAAAAUUUUCGCCGUUGUGCUACUAUUUUUGAGACCUUCAAUUCUCAUUUAGUUUGUUUCGGUGAAAAGUCUCUCGAGCUCUAUUUCGAGUUUUUAGCUGUCUACUGCUAUAUCCUGAUCUUGGAAAAAUCAUAACUUCCUUAUACGAAGUUAGAUUUGGACGUUCUUUUUAUGUACGCUCACGGUUUAAUGUUAUCUACAACUCUCAUUUAGAUACUUAAGGCUAAAAAUUAUUGUAUUGAAACUUCGGGUUUUUCAUUUAAUCGGUGUUGCCGGUUUUGUCCGGAAUUUUAGAAUGGUUAUAACUUCCUCGUUAUAACUCGGAUUUUUGUGUUCUUUAUAUGUAUGAAAACCUUGAUACGAUUCCUACCACUUUAUUUAACCCAAAUAAGAUUUUAGGAAAGUUAUAUUUUGACCUAAAUUUGACUGGUGUUAUAUUACAUUGUCUCGAAAUAUCGGGUUGUCACAUCAUCCCCCCGUUAGAGGGAAUUUCAUCCCGAAAUUAGAGUUUAAGCAAGACUUAAUAAUUAUGUUACAGAUAGAAGUUUUAUUUGCUUCUCGUGUUCUUAACUGAACUCAGGUUCUCGCUUGGCAUUCCAGCGAACCUUUCACUAUCAGGAUACGACUUUGCUUCUUUCGUUUGACUUCACUGGUAUGAUAACUCUUCUUCGUUGAAUGUGUGUUGAGUGUUUUUGUGGUCUGUGAGAGUAUUACACCUUGUACCCUACAAGUAGUGUCUCCAGAUCUUUAGAGCAAUUACCGUUGCUCCUGACUCAAGAUCAUGUGUUGUAUAAUUAACUUCUUGCGUCUUAAGCUAUCUUGAGGCAUAGGAAGUGACCUUUCCUCGUGCAUAAGAAUACAACCAAGCCCUUGGUUGGAUGCAUUGUAUUACCCCACGAAAUAUUCUAUCCCUUUUGGGAGGGAUAAUAUUGGUGCGAUGCAUCAGGCUUACUUUAGCGUUUGGAACGCUCUUUCUUGUUUACAGACAAGUUCGAUGCUCCUCCAAGUGAGAAACUUGGCCUAAAGAAUCCCCUUCUGAGGAGUUUGUUAAGCUCGUUAGGAAGUUCUUGCAUCUCAGUUGGAGCUAGAUGAUAAGGUGAUUUGGCUACUGGGGUAGCCCCUGGAACUAAGUCGAUUCUGAAUUCGACUUGACGUUGUGGUGGUAAUCCCGGUAGUUCUUUUGGAAAGGUGUUGGGAAAGUCGCAUACUUUUGGGAUGUUCUGAAUGUCCUUCGCUUCUUGGCUCGUAUCGACGAUGUGUGAAAGGAAUGUGUGAUAUUCCCUUCGUAAGCGCUUUUGAGCUUAAAUACACGAAAUGAUGCGAAGGUUCGUACUUUAUUUGUCUCCGUAAAUAACAAGAGGUUCUUUGAUAGGGAGGUUAAGAUGAACUGCUUUUUCAAAGCACCUGAUGUCGGCUCAAUGUGGACUUAACCAACUCCUACUGAUUAUGAUGUCAAAACCUUAGGGUAGAUUAGAUGUCGUGAAGAUCUAAAAGAAAGUAUGACUACUCAUGAAUUAGGGAAAAGGAUAGAUAUUUCUAAGUUUAUUCCCACGGAAGCACGAUCACUCACAGUCUUGGGCAGUCUCCGUCCAGAAGUUCAUAGUAGAACUCAUACCUGGUUCAUCAAUCACAGUCUCGGGUAUACGAGUCGUAUAUAAUUAAGAUUGAAACUGUGGGUCUUUGGAUUGAACUUGACGUACUGCACGAGUGGUACUUCGGGGAGGUUUGCUGAGGUUUCUUUGGAAAGGGUAAGAAACAUGAGGUACUCUACGCACGGAGUUCUGAAGUGAUAGUUUCGUUAGAAAGAUUAUUUCGUAGAAAGAGAUUUACGCACGAAACUGGUAUUGUGAGGAUCAAAUAGACUCUGAUCAUAUGAUGAAACCGGAAUCACUUGGAAAUAAAGACACGAGAUUUGAUCAUAAAGGCGUUACAGAUAAAACACAACAGUGCAACUUUUUAACAGAGUUACAGUACUUUAGAGUAACUAUAGGAAUACUACUGCGAACAAAGUAUACUAUAAAAGGCAAGUAUACGCAGCACGAGGGUCCCUUAACUGACGGGAUCUCGCAAAAGAUAAGACUCAAGUUGCACUAGUUCUAAACAUGUUUUAAAAACAUACAUAAUACUGACGAUUAGAAGUGAACUUAUACUAUAGUAGGGUCCUUCGUUGCCUCUUUCCAUUAUGAGGUCAAACUCCUCCGGAUUCACCAUCAUUCUCCUAUGUUGGGUAGUCCCUCUUGAAGUGUCCCAUUACGCCACAUAGAUGGCAUAUUCGAGAGGUUUCGACAUCUGUGGUUGAAGUAAUGUGUUGGAUCCGAGUCCUGCAACAAUUCGUAGUAUGUCCGUUCUUGUUGCAUUGAAAGUAGUGUAACAGACGACAACUACCCAGAUGAUGGAAGCUGCACUUAUUGCAUUUCGGUAGGUUUCCGGCAUACUGCCUAGCUGGUGUAGGGACAAUUGGGAUACCAGAAUGGAUGGUAGUAGGAGGUAUAUAUGUUGUGGCUACGAAGGUUGCCGCAGGUUUUUGUCUUUUGCUCGCCCCUUGGGGUGAUUUGCCUUUAGCCUUAGCCCAGAACUUUCGUUUGUUAUUCUUGGGCUUGAGAUUUACGGUGUCGUGGUAGUUUGUUGCUCGUGGGUCAGAAUAGCUGACACGGCAACCGAGACUGCAGCUUGAAAGGUAGCGGCAUCAAUCUAAAGAGUUGGUGUUUGGUUGAUGGGUUGAUCAUUUUUCUUCGGCAACAUGAUUCUGUUACACGGAAAGAAAAAUGAAUUUGUGAGCGAGUAUGGUUGAACCUAGACGUAGUUCGAUCGUUCAUGUAAAGGAUAGAAGUAUGUUCUCGAAGGUUUGACCUACAUCCCUAUGAUGCAGUCCCAGUAUAGAGUAGAAGUAAAUUAAUAGAAUGGUCUCAAAAUGCUUAUCGUCCAAAUCAGGGUAUUAUUGGCUGGUGGAUAACAUGAUCCAACCUUUGAAAGAGACUUGGAACUGAUUCCGGAGUUAAAUUACCAUAGUCCAAUAACUUGACUCGAUGGGGUUUAGAUAGACUCCAAUGAAAGCAUGAUGUAAGCAUUUGAACAAAGAUUGACACGUAAGUUAGCCGACUGUUGAUAUCAUUGAUAUUUAAGAUUUAAUAGGUUUGGGGAAAUUGACCUUGUUGUAGGUCUUACAUCGUAUUCGGAGUAGAAAAGUCUUCAACAUCAUAAGGACUUAAAUAAAAGUACUUAAAGUACAAGGUAAUUACAUAGGAAGUACUACACAGAACGUUGACAGGAACACGGUUCUUUAAAACAAAGAAGUAAGUAAGGUAUCUCCUACUGGCGAUGGUCACCCCUAUGGUGAACCCUUAGUUCGGUUUAGUUGACGUUCCAUAUCAAGUAGGUAUCUCUCGUACACCCUCUGGUGUACUUAGAGCUCUUAUGACUUCGGUUCGGGUUUCAUCUAGUGCUUGCAGCAGGGUCUCAUGGUUUCUCUCAAAUCUCUCACUUGUGAUCAAGGCGAUUUGUGCGAGUGGUAUGCAUUCUUGCACUGGUAUUAACCUCUUCGAUACGUUGGAGAGCCGUUCUGCCUUGAAUUUCGUUUUGGGCAACUCUACGGAUCAGGAUCGGUAGAACUCUGUCUGCUGAUCUCCCUUCGUUUACGUUGUAGAAGCUUUGGUCUCCAUUAAACCGCAUAGGUUAAUCUUGCUCUUCGCUCCAUGUUUCCACACAUUCUACCCAAGGAGGCUUCGGGCAAUGAAAUGCCGGUCGAGGGUUAGGAUUUGGAAAUGGAGCUACCGGGGGUAGGUUCUCAACCUCAGGUUCGGAGUUAUCAACAUUCGAAAGGUUUUCAGCAUGGUGAUCAUUCAAAGUGAUUAGAUGAUCAUUCUCUGGUCCUUCUCCAAACCAUCCAGCAAUGACUUCGCUUGGAAAGUACGGGUUGCCAUGGGGAUGGAGUCCAGCCAUGUUAUCUACGCGAGAAUUGGGGUAAGUAAAUAAUUAUUAGACGAACUAUCUAGAUAAUUAUUAGAAAAUCUUCAUUAGUUACAUCGCUAUUUGUAAAGUCCAUACCAGUCAUAUGUAAUCAACACAUGAUAGGCUUUCGAAUAAGUGACCUUAACUCCAAAUUCACAAGGAAUAAGGGUAAAGCAAAAAAUUUCACCGAUUCUAAGUCUAUAACAUCCUAGGUACAUAUAGCCUUAGUGUAUCCACUUAGAAACUAUCAACUUAGCAAUGAAUAUCCUUUUUAGUUCUCAAGUAAGUAAUUAUGGUAACCCAAAAACACCCCUAUGGUAUUUUAGACUUAGGUUCUGUUAUAAUGUUCUCAUUGUGGUAAUGUUGGUAAGUUUUUAGACUUGUUGCCAUAUCACAACCAUUCUUGGGCAUAUGCUAAUCACUCCUCGGACCAGCAUAGUUGAUCAGGCUAUGCCACUCCCAAGACUGACUAUACAUCCCCAAGCUUACUUGUGAUAUUCGACAAUCGUAAUACUUCUGUUCUUGUCGUUGUGACACCGAUUUUAGUAUGAAUGCAGGCACGUAUGCUUACUUAAAUAUUUUAUUAUUUAAAAGUAUUAACUCUAAAUAAGAGUAUUUUAAUCCCAAUGUAUUUAUAGUUAGUAUAUCUUUUAUGGGUUGAUAUACUAUAUUCACUAUAAAAAAUGCUCUGAUACCAAUUUGUCACACCCCAAAACCGAGAACGGCGGAAACGUUCUUGGGCGGAGGACGUCAUGUAAUGUAUCACAACAAAUGUAAAGUAGUAAACAAGCAACAACAUCAUCCAUUGCAUUAAUAGUAUAAUUUUGAUUACAAGUUUGUUCUUUCAUAGUACAAGAAAACAUGAUAACUAAUCAAAAUAAUAGACGAGUCUUGACUGCUCUGUCUUCUCUAAACCUUGCAUCAGCACCUGUCUAUUUGUAACCUGAGAAUACAAGUUAUUUUGAAAGCGAGUAUCAGCAAUAAAGCUGGUGAAUUCAUAAGUAUUUUAAUGUUAUUGCUUUGAAAAGUUGUUAUGAAAGACUGGUGAAUGUUUGAUGAAACAUUUAGUAUAAGUAUGAAAAACCUUAGAAAAUCCCAUAUUUCCUACUAGUAUAAAAAGUAGUCUUCUACCAAGACCUGAAUGUUUUGAAGGUAGUCUUCUACCAAGACCUGAAUGUUUUGAAAGUAGUCUUCUACCAAGACCUGAAUGUUUUGUAAGUAGUCUUCUACCAAGACCUGAAUGUUUUGAAAGUAGU
Molecule: long non-coding RNA, 7761 nt
Filed under: Lactuca sativa (garden lettuce)
Lineage: Eukaryota; Viridiplantae; Streptophyta; Magnoliopsida; Asterales; Asteraceae
Description: long non-coding RNA (LSAT_LNC004903)
Source: RNAcentral